UCUGGCUCAGGAUGAACGCUGGCGGCGUGCCUAACACAUGCAAGUCGAACGGAGUUACUGAAGGCAAAGCUCGGCAGAGCCAUUGGUAAACUUAGUGGCGGACGGGUGAGUAACGCGUGGGCAACCUGCCUCAUACUGGGGGAUAACAGUUGGAAACGACUGUUAAUACCGCAUAAGCGCACAGUGUCGCAUGACACAGUGUGAAAAACUCCGGUGGUAUGAGAUGGGCCCGCGUCAGAUUAGCCAGUUGGCGGGUAACGGCCCACCAAAGCGACGAUCUGUAGCCGGACUGAGAGGUCGGACGGCCACAUUGGGACUGAGACACGGCCCAAACUCCUACGGGAGGCAGCAGUGGGGGAUAUUGCACAAUGGAGGAAACUCUGAUGCAGCGACGCCCGCGUGAGUGAAGAAGUAUUUCGGUAUGUAAAGCUCUAUCAGCAGGGAAGAAAGACCCGCAAGGGGGAUGACGGUACCUGACUAAGAAGCCCCGGCUAACUACGUGCCAGCCGCUGC
RNAcentral lists this ribosomal RNA (513 nucleotides) under uncultured bacterium. RNAcentral's name for it is "bacterial SSU rRNA". It matches the Rfam family "Bacterial small subunit ribosomal RNA", at positions 18 to 518 of the family's 1533-position model. The record is from RNAcentral.